GCCUCUGUAGCCCAGUUGGUUAGAGCGCUGCUCCGGAAUCGCAGGGCCGUAGGUUCGAUUCCUACCAGAGGAC
This 73-nucleotide transfer RNA is filed under the name Paramuricea clavata. It matches the Rfam family "tRNA". From Rfam's summary of the family: Transfer RNA (tRNA) molecules are approximately 80 nucleotides in length. Their secondary structure includes four short double-helical elements and three loops (D, anti-codon, and T loops). Further hydrogen bonds mediate the characteristic L-shaped molecular structure. tRNAs have two regions of fundamental functional importance: the anti-codon, which is responsible for specific mRNA codon recognition, and the 3' end, to which the tRNAs corresponding amino acid is attached (by aminoacyl-tRNA synthetases). tRNAs cope with the degeneracy of the genetic code in two manners: having more than one tRNA (with a specific anti-codon) for a particular amino acid; and 'wobble' base-pairing, i.e. permitting non-standard base-pairing at the 3rd anti-codon position. Lineage: Eukaryota; Metazoa; Cnidaria; Anthozoa; Malacalcyonacea; Plexauridae. The record is from Rfam by way of RNAcentral.